UACGUAGGGUGCGAGCGUUGUCCGGAAUUAUUGGGCGUAAAGGGCUCGUAGGCGGUUUGUCGCGUCGGGAGUGAAAUCCACUGGCUUAACUGGUGGCUUGCUUUCGAUACGGGCAGACUGGAGGUAUGCAGGGGAGAACGGAAUUCCUGGUGUAGCGGUGAAAUGCGCAGAUAUCAGGAGGAACACCAGAGGCGAAGGCGGCGCGCUGGGCUGCAACUGACGCUGAACCACGAAAGCCAGGGUAGCGAACGGG
Molecule: ribosomal RNA, 253 nt
Filed under: uncultured bacterium
Lineage: Bacteria
Description: partial 16S ribosomal RNA
Rfam family: Bacterial small subunit ribosomal RNA
Source: RNAcentral